CCUACGGGUGGCUGCAGUGAGGAAUAUUGCGCAAUGGGCGAAAGCCUGACGCAGCGACGCCGCGUGGGGGAAGAAGGUUUUCGGAUUGUAAACCCCUUUUAGGAGGAAAGAUGGGGUGGGUUUCCACCCGGACGGUACCUCCAGAAAAAGCCACGGCUAACUUCGUGCCAGCAGCCGCGGUAAUACGAAGGUGGCGAGCGUUGUUCGGAUUUACUGGGCGUAAAGAGCACGUAGGCGGUUUAGUAAGCCCCUUGGGAAAGCUAUGGGCUUAACCCAUAAAGGUCGAGGGGGACUGCUAAGCUAGAGGGCGGGAGAGGAGCGCGGAAUUUCCGGUGUAGCGGUGAAAUGCGUAGAUAUCGGGAAGAAGGCCGGUGGCGAAGGCGGCGCUCUGGAACGUCUCUGACGCUGAGGUGCGAAAGCGUGGGGGGCAAACAGGAUUAGAUACCCUGG
RNAcentral lists this ribosomal RNA (450 nucleotides) under uncultured bacterium. RNAcentral describes it as "bacterial SSU rRNA". It matches the Rfam family "Bacterial small subunit ribosomal RNA", at positions 338 to 790 of the family's 1533-position model. The record is from RNAcentral.